Molecule: ribosomal RNA, 444 nt
Filed under: Triticum aestivum (bread wheat)
Lineage: Eukaryota; Viridiplantae; Streptophyta; Magnoliopsida; Poales; Poaceae
Description: partial small subunit ribosomal RNA
Source: RNAcentral
AUGCAUCGCUGUCGCCACCCUACCAAGCUUACUCCGGUCUGCCUCUCGUCGUUCGAGCAAAAGUGGUGCCAGGGCCGUCAUCGGGUAUCUAAGGCGAAGGAGCAACAGGCACCACCACGGAUGAGCCGGCUGCGCGGUUCUAGAUGCUCCAUCGAGAAAAGUCGUCGGCGGGGAGCUGCUUCGCCUGCCGUCUCAUGCCCUGGCCCUGGCAUCCUACACGACGGCGGGUCGACCACGACGCUAUACAACAUCGCCUGCUGGGGCGUGCCACCGCCGCAUGGGCCUCCGCGCGAGCCGCCCAUACCCCACGCGCCCCCGCUCCUCCCACACCCGUGCGCUACCUACAGCCCGAGGGAACAAGCGCCGCCCACGCGCCGGUGGCCAUGCCAACGGGCUUCUAGCCUCGCACGCUGCCUGCCGGUUCAUCUCCUUUCCUUACCUUGA